UUUCUCCUUGCUAAAGAGGAUUUUGUUGGU
This 30-nucleotide non-coding RNA is filed under the name Homo sapiens (human). Lineage: Eukaryota; Metazoa; Chordata; Mammalia; Primates; Hominidae. The record is from RNAcentral.